RNAcentral lists this ribosomal RNA (674 nucleotides) under Chloridium chlamydosporum. Its description in RNAcentral is "partial large subunit ribosomal RNA". It matches the Rfam family "Eukaryotic large subunit ribosomal RNA", at positions 98 to 804 of the family's 3401-position model. The record is from RNAcentral. Lineage: Eukaryota; Fungi; Ascomycota; Sordariomycetes; Chaetosphaeriales; Chaetosphaeriaceae.
GCGGCAACAGCUCAAAUUUGAAAUCUGGCCUUCCGGUCCGAGUUGUAAUUUGCAGAGGAUGCUUCGGGCGCGGUGCCUUCCAAGUCCCCUGGAACGGGGCGCCGGAGAGGGUGAGAGCCCCGUACGGUUGGCGGCCAAGCCUGUGUGAAGCUCCUUCGACGAGUCGAGUAGUUUGGGAAUGCUGCUCUAAGCGGGAGGUAGACCCCUUCUAAAGCUAAAUACCGGCCAGAGACCGAUAGCGCACAAGUAGAGUGAUCGAAAGAUGAAAAGCACUUUGAAAAGAGGGUUAAACAGCACGUGAAAUUGUUGAAAGGGAAGCGCUUGCGACCAGACGUGCGCCGGGGUGCUCAGCGGGCGUUCUCGCCCGUGCACUCGCCCCGGCGCAGGCCAGCGUCGGUUUGGGCGGGGGGAUAAAGGCGUCUGGAAUGUGGCUCCCCCGGGAGUGUUAUAGCCAGGCGUGCCAUGCCUCCGCCCGGACCGAGGUACGCGUUCUGCAAGGACGCUGGCGUAAUGGUCCCCAGCGACCCGUCUUGAAACACGGACCAAGGAGUCGAGGUUUUGCGCGAGUGUUUGGGUGGAAAACCCGCACGCGUAAUGAAAGUGAACGUAGGUGAGAGCUUCGGCGCAUCACCGACCGAUCCUGAUGUUUUCGGAUGGAUUUGAGUAAGAGCGUA